UAGGGAAUCUUCGGCAAUGGGGGGAACCCUGACCGAGCAACGCCGCGUGAGUGAAGAAGGUUUUCGGAUCGUAAAGCUCUGUUGUUAAGGAAGAACGAGUGUGAGAAUGGAAAGUUCAUGCUGUGACGGUACUUAACCAGAAAGGGACGGCUAACUACGUGCCAGCAGCCGCGGUAAUACGUAGGUCCCGAGCGUUGUCCGGAUUUAUUGGUCGUAAAGCGAGCGCAGGCGGUUAGAAAAGUCUGAAGUGAAAGGCAGUGGCUCAACCAUUGUAGGCUUUGGAAACUGUUUAACUUGAGUGCAGAAGGGGAGAGUGGAAUUCCAUGUGUAGCGGUGAAAUGCGUAGAUAUAUGGAGGAACACCAGUGGCGAAGGCGACUCUCUGGUCUGUAACUGACGCUGAGGCUCGAAAGCGUGGGUAGCAAACAGG
This 429-nucleotide ribosomal RNA is filed under the name Bacteroidota bacterium. Its description in RNAcentral is "Bacteroidetes bacterium partial 16S ribosomal RNA". It matches the Rfam family "Bacterial small subunit ribosomal RNA", at positions 355 to 776 of the family's 1533-position model. The record is from RNAcentral. Lineage: Bacteria; Pseudomonadati; Bacteroidota.